AAGUCAAGGGAAUAGAAAGCCAAGGGAAGGACAAAGAAAAGAAAAAGGAGGAGAAAGUAAGGGAGAAAAGUGAACAUAAUGUAAAAGCGCCAGAUAAAUCAAAAGGAAACAAUAAGGUUGACCUUAUAGGUAUCCAUAAUGCAAAAGCCUCUCAUCUUCCCAAGGAGAUCACUGUGAGUGGUCUCAAUGGAGGGAAUCCAAGGAAACGAAAGGAAUUAGACACAAACGGAUUCUUUAAUGGUAAGCCAUAAUGAAGGAAACACAUUUAUUUUUAAGAUUAUCCCUCCCCAAUUUCACCUAUGCCUUCUUGUUAAUAACUGGUUCUGCUUCAUUUUAUUUCUGUUGCAGCUAAUGGCAUUAAGCCCAGUAAGAUGCCAAGACCAGAUUCCUCUCACCCAUUCAUUCAGAAUGGGAAGAUGUUGGAAACUGCUGGAACUUCCAUUGCAUCUGUAUCAGAUAGGCAAGGGGCAGUCAAUAAUAUUAAGGUCGAUGCUAAAGAACGCAAGAUAAAUGGUGUAAUAGCAACUCGG
Molecule: long non-coding RNA, 530 nt
Filed under: Manihot esculenta (cassava)
Lineage: Eukaryota; Viridiplantae; Streptophyta; Magnoliopsida; Malpighiales; Euphorbiaceae
Description: long non-coding RNA (MESC_LNC001860)
Source: RNAcentral